This 215-nucleotide long non-coding RNA is filed under the name Sinocyclocheilus anshuiensis. RNAcentral's name for it is "lncRNA (ENSSANG00000050731.1)". The record is from RNAcentral. Lineage: Eukaryota; Metazoa; Chordata; Actinopteri; Cypriniformes; Cyprinidae.
AUUUGUCAUUGUUUCAGUCAGCAUGGUUUUUAUCAUCCUUUUCCUGUUUAUACCACCUUGUCAUGAUUAUUGUGCCGAUUGCUGUAGGAGACACAAGACUUCCCAAAAAUGACAUUCGUGAGCGAGUGACUGAUUCUGCUACCUGCCACACAGUUCUGCUCAUCAUAGACCCUUGUGUCCCUUCAGAUGCAAAGUCACAUGUGGAUCUUCUCGAC